UACGUAGGGUGCAAGCGUUGUCCGGAAUUAUUGGGCGUAAAGAGCUCGUAGGCGGUCUGUCACGUCGGCUGUGAAAUCCCGAGGCUCAACCUCGGGUCUGCAGUCGAUACGGGCAAACUAGAGUAUUGCAGGGGAGACUGGAAUUCCUGGUGUAGCGGUAGAAAUGCGCAGAUAUCAGGAGGAACACCGGUGGCGAAGGCGGGUCUCUGGGCAAUAACUGACGCUGAG
This 228-nucleotide ribosomal RNA is filed under the name uncultured bacterium. RNAcentral describes it as "partial 16S ribosomal RNA". It matches the Rfam family "Bacterial small subunit ribosomal RNA", at positions 524 to 750 of the family's 1533-position model. The record is from RNAcentral.